This 497-nucleotide ribosomal RNA is filed under the name uncultured bacterium. Its description in RNAcentral is "partial 16S ribosomal RNA". It matches the Rfam family "Bacterial small subunit ribosomal RNA", at positions 28 to 507 of the family's 1533-position model. The record is from RNAcentral.
GAUGAACGCUGGCGGCGUGCCUAAUACAUGCAAGUCGAGCGAACAGACGAGGAGCUUGCUCCUCUGACGUUAGCGGCGGACGGGUGAGUAACACGUGGAUAACCUACCUAUAAGACUGGGAUAACUUCGGGAAACCGGAGCUAAUACCGGAUAAUAUAUUGAACCGCAUGGUUCAAUAGUGAAAGACGGUUUUGCUGUCACUUAUAGAUGGAUCCGCGCCGCAUUAGCUAGUUAGUAAGGUAACGGCUUACCAAGGCGACGAUGCGUAGCCGACCUGAGAGGGUGAUCGGCCACACUGGAACUGAGACACGGUCCAGACUCCUACGGGAGGCAGCAGUAGGGAAUCUUCCGCAAUGGGCGAAAGCUUGACGGAGCAACGCCGCGUGAGUGAUGAAGGUCUUCGGAUCGUAAAACUCUGUUAUUAGGGAAGAACAAAUGUGUAAGUAACUAUGCACGUCUUGACGGUACCUAAUCAGAAAGCCACGGCUAACUACGUG